Non-coding RNA from Aedes albopictus (Asian tiger mosquito), 58 nucleotides. Lineage: Eukaryota; Metazoa; Arthropoda; Insecta; Diptera; Culicidae. The record is from Rfam.
UAGCCUAGUAGUUAAGGCUGUGGAUCGCUAAUCCGGAGACGGCGGGUUCGAUUCCCGU